Non-coding RNA from Cinara cedri, 226 nucleotides. NCBI's taxonomy places the organism in Eukaryota, Metazoa, Arthropoda, Insecta, Hemiptera, Aphididae. The record is from the annotation of a GenBank genome assembly.
GGGAGCAGAUAGCAACGACGGAGGAUUACGAAAAAAAAAAAAAUAAUCGAAAUUAAGACGCGUGAGAUCGCGCGGAAACUCGACGACGGACGGACGGACGGCGCGCGGAGCGUGUCAGAGCAACGUCGACGGCGUUCUGACGGACGAGGAAAACGUUUGUUCGGAUGACGACGAUAAUGACGGUAGCGGCGGCGUAGAGUACAUGCUGCGUCGGACGAAAACUGUU